This 421-nucleotide ribosomal RNA is filed under the name uncultured Gammaproteobacteria bacterium. RNAcentral's name for it is "bacterial SSU rRNA". It matches the Rfam family "Bacterial small subunit ribosomal RNA", at positions 9 to 426 of the family's 1533-position model. The record is from RNAcentral. Lineage: Bacteria; Pseudomonadati; Pseudomonadota; Gammaproteobacteria.
GAGUUUGAUCUUGGCUCAGAGUGAACGCUGGCGGCAGGCCUAACACAUGCAAGUCGAACGGCAGCACAGCAGUAGCAAUACUGUGGGUGGCGAGUGGCGGACGGGUGAGGAAUACAUCGGAAUCUGCCCAGUCGUGGGGGAUAACGUAGGGAAACUUACGCUAAUACCGCAUACGACCUUAGGGUGAAAGCGGGGGAUCGCAAGACCUCGCGCGAUUGAAUGAGCCGAUGUCGGAUUAGCUAGUUGGCGGGGUAAAGGCCCACCAAGGCGACGAUCCGUAGCUGGUCUGAGAGGAUGACCAGUCACACUGGGACUGAGACACGGCCCAGACUCCUACGGGAGGCAGCAGUGAGGAAUAUUGCGCAAUGGGCGAAAGCCUGACGCAGCGACGCCGCGUGGAGGAUGAAGGCCUUCGGGUUGU